CUCCCUGGGGGACACCGUCAGGGCUGCCCAUCCUCAACUGGCUUUGGCCAGAGACUGGGGGCCCCUGACCCUUGUUGCCUCUCUUUCCACUGAGACAGCCCAGGUCCUGGCCUUCCUGCCUCCAUCUGUCCCCAGCCCAGCCACCCAGGAUCCAAUCUCCGGGAGUCCCUGGGGACCCAGCUGCCCUGUCCGGCUGAGUGGCCCCUGGACCCUGUGUCCAGCCUGACUCUGGCUUCUUUCCCCCCCUUCCCACCCUUUUCUCUGCCGGCUGCCCCCUGGCCGGACCUGGCCAGGCCCUCACCUGUGAACAGGAUGUGGUCAAAUCUGUGCUCCAGCAGCCGCCCGGUGUCCUCAGGCCCGCCCAGCACCACGGCAAAGCAGCUCUGCCAGGUGGCACAGGAGGUCAGCGGGCAAGCCCAGGGGACAGUAGGACAGGAGGGGACUAGUGGGGCAGGUCCUCCUCACCUGGUCCAGGUACCGGGGCAGCACCUCGGCCAGCACCUUCUCGGUGCCCUUGCUGAUUUCCGAUGGCUUCAGGACCACGCAGUUCCCUGCAGAGGCACAGGGGGCUGUAGGCGGGGCCAGGGUCCCCCCAUCUGCCAGGCCUGCACCCAGGGGCCACCACAGCCCCGCGACUCUGGAGGCCCUCUUUGGGAAGGGGCGGCCGAUGGGAGGGCGGACCAGGGCCUGUCCUCACCUGCAGCGAUGGCCCCCACCAGGGGCACCAGCGUCAGGUUCAGCGGGUAGUUCCAGGGCGCGAUGAUGAGCACCAGGCCGAAGGGCUCCUUGCGGAUGAAGGCUGAGUGCAGCUUCGUGAGCUGGGUGCAGGGAGGACAGUAAAGUGCCACCAAGGACCACGAGACCCCCUCCCGCAGCCUGGGUCCUCCGCUCCUGUGCAUUAGCGUCUCCUGGAGAAGACUGGCCCUGGCCUCGGGGACAGGAAGGAGCCUGGACCAGAGCCAUCCCCUGCCCUGCUGCCACCCGGUCAGCCCACAGGGCUCACCAAGUUCGUGGCUACCGGCUCGUCCUUCAUCCAGGUGUGCAGGCUCCUGAGGGCCAGGUGCACCUCAUUCUGGCACAGGAUGAACUCCGACAUGUCCGCCUCGAAGGCCGACUGAGGAAGCGGCCCAGGCCCUGGAGCUGCGCCGCCCGGAACUCUGCCGGCCGAGUCCGCCCCGAGCCGAAGGCCUCCCGCAGCCGCCGCAGCGUGUCCUCGACGGGGUCCAUCCUGCUGGACAAGGCAGCGAGAACUGGGUGCUCCACCUCCAGGGGCGACCUGCAGCUGCCCCUCACAGGUCCAAGGCUCUGGUGACCUCGGCUUCCUACCCGGCUCCCUGUACCUCCCUGUACUGAUGCCAUCCGUGACACUGUGGGGCCAGGCACCAGGUGCCGCAGGCUCCUCCCACAGCCCAUCAGAGCCGCAGCUGGCUCUACGCAGAGGCCAGGAAGGGGCGGCCUCUCAGAGCUGACCUGAUGCACACGCCCGCCACCACCCCUGUGUGCUGUGGUCUCAGUGCCCUCCUGCAGCUCCCCGGUUUGCUACAGUGACAACAUAGUCCUUCUAGAACCCUCCACGAACAGGGAAUGUGGCCCGUGAAAUCUGAAGCCAAAGGCUCAGCUCUGGCCUCACCACCCGAGAAGCCCCCUGGCCGCCUGCCCACACAGCACAGCGCUGGCCACUCCUGCCGGCCCCACCUUCUCCUGGCUAGGCCCCUCCGGAAGGACAGGAGUCUCUCCCCGGCCCUGGGGUCCCAGGGCUUGGGGUCCCAGGGCUUUCCCGGAGCUGACCGAGGCCCGGAAGUCCCGGCAGUGAGGGCCGGACAGGGCCUGAGCACCCGUCUGCGCUGUCAACCUGCACCCGGCCGCGCCCUCUCCCCAGCAGCAGCCCCCACCCGCUUUGCCCUGCGCCCUCGUACCCCAGCGUGGGCUCUGAGCGGGGGUCCUGUGUCGACAGCGUGUCUCCAGUGCCCCGACUGCGCUCCCAGCUCUCCUCGCCGGCCCUCCUCUGCCCCUGCCCGGCCUCUGCCUCUGGCUCAGCUGCUCCCACCCCCAGGCCUGGCACUGGGUGCUCCCACCCCUCCUCGCUCCCACUGCCAGUCUCCCUGGCACGGCCCGCUGGGGAACAGGUUGGGCCGGCUGUGAGGCUGCUGUGUCUGCAGGGAGGGCUGGCAGGGCCCCGCCCGAUAAGGAGAAGCCCCCCGAGGCGAGAUGAGCUGCCAGCCACCUCCACCCCCACGCAGCGGGUCCAGGUCUGCAGGAGCAACAGUGGCUCCUUCUUUUCUGCUCCCCUGUGACCAACUGGAGGCAGGUGACUCAGCCUCUCUGAGCCUCUCUGAAGUAAGAGUCACGCACAAGUGUCAUGGUUCUUGAGAGAAUCCUGGGCAGAGGACAGGAGUAAUGAAGAGCGAAGGACUGGCUCACGCUGCCAUGUGGAGGGAUCUUGAAAACAGGACGCAGAGCGAAGAGGCACACACAUAUGUUGGGAUUCCUCUGGAAGAGCGGUGAAUGCCUGUGUGCCCAUGAGCUACAACUGGGAGGUGAUGGAUCACACGUGGAUUUUACCUCUCCAAGAGCAAAGGGCUGGGAUCCCGCUGGCUCCCACCCCCCUGCCCAUGUGCCCUGAUGGAACCUCCGCCACACGGGCAGGGCAUCGAGAUGGGCAUUGCUGUUCAGAGGAGAAACAGGGGGCACGGUGGGGCCCCGGUCCCAGGCCACCUGAGACCAGCGGGAGACAAUAAAGUGCCCUGCCUGGACCCCAAGGUCUGGGAAGGAUUCUCCAUGGC
This is a long non-coding RNA of Marmota monax (woodchuck), 2783 nucleotides long. RefSeq lists it as uncharacterized. The transcript has 8 exons. NCBI's taxonomy places the organism in Eukaryota, Metazoa, Chordata, Mammalia, Rodentia, Sciuridae. The record is from RefSeq and is a predicted model, not a curated record.